Molecule: ribosomal RNA, 441 nt
Filed under: uncultured bacterium
Lineage: Bacteria
Description: partial 16S ribosomal RNA
Rfam family: Bacterial small subunit ribosomal RNA
Source: RNAcentral
CCUACGGGUGGCAGCAGUCGGGAAUAUUGCGCAAUGGAGGAAACUCUGACGCAGUGAAGCCGCGUGCAGGAAGAAGGUUUUCGGAUUGUAAACUGCUUUAGACAGGGAAGAAACAAGACAGUACCUGUAAACUACGCUCCGGCUAACUACGUGACAGCAGCCGCGGUAAUACGUAGGGAGCAAGCGUUAUCCGGAUUUAUUGGGUGUACAGGGUGCGUAGACGGGAAGUGAAGGUGGUUGUGAAAUCCCUCGGCUUAACUGAGGAACUGCAACCAAAACUAACUUGCUUGAGUGCUGGAGAGGAAAGUGGAAUGCCUAGUGUAGCGGUGAAAUGCGUAGAUAUUAGGAAGAACACCAGUGGCGAAGGCGACUUUCUGGACAGGAACUGACGUUGAGGCACGAAAGUGUGGGGAGCAAACAGGAUUAGAUACCCUUGUAGUC